This 631-nucleotide ribosomal RNA is filed under the name uncultured Flavobacterium sp. RNAcentral describes it as "bacterial SSU rRNA". It matches the Rfam family "Bacterial small subunit ribosomal RNA", at positions 54 to 688 of the family's 1533-position model. The record is from RNAcentral. Lineage: Bacteria; Pseudomonadati; Bacteroidota; Flavobacteriia; Flavobacteriales; Flavobacteriaceae.
CAUGCAAGUCGAGGGGUAUAGUAGCAAUACUAGAGACCGGCGCACGGGUGCGUAACGCGUAUGCAAUCUACCUUAUACAGAGGGAUAGCCCAGAGAAAUUUGGAUUAAUACCUCAUAGCAUAGCAACUUCGCAUGAAGUCACUAUUAAAGUUCCAACGGUAUAAGAUGAGCAUGCGUCCUAUUAGCUAGAUGGUAAGGUAACGGCUUACCAUGGCUACGAUAGGUAGGGGUCCUGAGAGGGAGAUCCCCCACACUGGUACUGAGACACGGACCAGACUCCUACGGGAGGCAGCAGUGAGGAAUAUUGGACAAUGGGCGCAAGCCUGAUCCAGCCGUGCCGCGUGCAGGAAGACGCAUCUAUGGUGUGUAAACUGCUUUUGUACGGGAAGAAACACUCCCUCGUGAGGGAGCUUGACGGUACCGUAAGAAUAAGGAUCGGCUAACUCCGUGCCAGCAGCCGCGGUAAUACGGAGGAUCCAAGCGUUAUCCGGAAUCAUUGGGUUUAAAGGGUCCGUAGGCGGUUUGGUAAGUCAGUGGUGAAAGCCCAUCGCUUAACGAUGGAACGGCCAUUGAUACUGCCAGACUUGAAUUACUGGGAAGUAACUAGAAUAUGUAGUGUAGCGGUGAAAUG